AUGAAUUUCUUAAGUUGGAACUGCCGGGGUGGGGGGAAUACCCGGACAGUUCGUGAGUUGGCGACGUUAUCUCAGUCGCAUUCCCCCAACUUUAUCUUCCUAUGUGAAACUAGACAGAAGGCUAGCAAGAUGAAAAGGAUCCGGGCAAGAUUGGGCCUUAAGGGCUUUGAGGGUGUGGACAGCAAUGGUAUGAGCGGGGGUCUGGCCCUUUACUGGCAUGAGUCUUGUGUUGUGGAGGUGGUUGAUAAAGAGGAAAGGUAUAUUGAUGCUUUAGUGAGGAUGCAUGAGCGUGGAACCCAAUGGAGAGUUACUUGUGUGUAUGGAGAACCUCGCACUGAAAAUCGUCAUCUCAUGUGGACGAAGCUUCAGAGUUUGAAGAAUACUUGUGAUCUUCCAUGA
RNAcentral lists this ribosomal RNA (399 nucleotides) under Triticum aestivum (bread wheat). RNAcentral's name for it is "partial small subunit ribosomal RNA". The record is from RNAcentral. Lineage: Eukaryota; Viridiplantae; Streptophyta; Magnoliopsida; Poales; Poaceae.